AGGGAAGAACCUGGCUGAGACGCACCUGCAACUGUUUGGAGCUGGUGACCUUGGGCCCAGCACACCCUCGCUGCUGGUGGACACAGCCCCUCACAAGCAGCUGCGAGGCCCUCGGGCAGUGGCAUGGGCGCCGUCGCUUCCUGCUAACCCCACAUCCUCAUUUCCCACGCUUCUCCUUCCACCUUCCAUGAUCACUGGGACCUACUGCCUCAGGAACCGCCUCAGAGGGACAGAGGGAAGCAGACCACCCUUUUCUUCAGAGAGUUCAUGGCCCAGGGAGGGAACGCUGGCUGGGGACGAUCACAAAGCCUCUCUGGUGCCCGGCCAGCGACAGGGACCCUCGGGGCUGCGGGGGGAGAGGACGCCCCUGCCCUGGCCGCACAGGGUUGGGUUAGAGGUGAGCUGGGGCCGGAGAAGCCACGGGAGCCAUGUGGCGCCUUCUCAGGAGGUGCUCCCGCAGCUUCGCCUCCUCUCGUCUUCCGUGCGCAGGGAGGGACCAGCCCAGUGACAGCUGGGAGCAAAACUGGUCACCUCCCCUCGGGCUCUGGGCAACUGUCAACCUGCAGCUUUGAGUCUCUCCCCCUGGAAUCUUCUAUCUGGGGUAUGAUAAUGUUAUUACAUACGUUGGUUAUUUACAGCACAACAUGAAAAGGCAAUUUGUAAGGACUGGUCCGUCUAAUCGGGGCGAAUCACCAGUCUUCUGAGGCAUCGUAUUGAGUUUAGUUUCCGACUGAUUGCUAAAUGCCUUCACGCUGCGUGGAUAUUGCCCAGCUCUGCCUCCCUUGCUGCAGGUGCCCUGUGGAUGCUGAGCUUCCACGGAGGGGCUGCUGCCCCCUCUGCCCCCACAGCUCAGCUCGAGUUCACCAGUGGGGAAGGCCGAGGGCCUGUGGAACGAGGGCUCCGUUCCCCCACCGCAAGGAGUGAACGGCACCGAGGUUCCCGCCGCCGAGCCGCAGCGCUGUGCAAGCCCCCGAUGGGCGACGGACACCAGGCCCCAGCCCAACGCGCUUCCUUUGGCUCCUCCUGAACUGGGGGGGGGGCCUCGCACCCGCCUUGCCAGGGCCCUGGCAUCUGUCUCACUGGCCUUUCUCACCUGGUAUUCCAGUGAGGAGGGUGCUUCAGUUUUACUCCCUUUGAGAGGCAAGAUCUUCUCAACCCACAAGAAGAGGCGACCAGGUCCUGGGUGACUGUCGAAUAAGCCUGGUCCAACUGGGAACAAGUCUUCUGGGCCCUAAUUUCCCACAUGGUGUUCUUGUCUGACAAAAUCACAGCCUUCCACGUUCAAGAAUCUUCAUUCAUCUCUCUCUUUCAGCGAAUGUUCCCUAAGCUCUCCCAUCACUGAGCACUGCUGCCAACAGCCCAGCUGCAUGCUACCACUUUGGUUUGAUGGAGAGAAGGGCUCAGAACCUCGUGCAAGUGGGAGGCAAGCACAAGUACAAAGGCAUCUUCCGGAGCCAAGGUGGGGGCGCAGAGGGCCUGUCUCAGUGAGAUCCCACUGUCUUCCAGGGUUUGCCACCGCAGCAGUAAGCCCUGGAGUGGCCCCACACCCUAAGAUCCACGGGGGAAAAGGUGGAUGUCUCAGCAUGGGUUUGUAACAUUGUUCUCUUAAAUAAGCAGAGGAUGCAGAAUUAGGAGCAAGCAUUCCGAGGGGUGGCCAGCUGUGGCUUCCGAGGGGCACCUGACCUCCCAUCUGCCUUCUGAGCACCAGCUGCCCCAGGUGAGGUGUGUGGAGUUCCACAGCUACGAUGAGCCGUCGCCAUGGAGAACAGCAGCUCACGAUUGCUUUGAUUUAAAUUGAAUUAAGGUGAAAAUGAAUCAGGGCAUAACUCUCUUCUUUCAGCCAGACGUCUUUCUGAACCGGUGUAUAUAUGACUUAAAAAAGUCACGAGGGUUUUGGGCCCAGGGAUCAGGCAGGAAGGAAAGGCAGUGCCGUGCAAGGAGGGGUGGGUUAGAAAUUGUAUCCAGAACCGCUGUGGCUUGUACUGAAGGAAGAAACUUCGUAGUUCUGCUUCUAUUUCUACCACAACACCAAGGAAGGUGUGUGGGGUGGGGAGCAGGUACACACAGGUCCUUGGUAUUACCAGUGGUCCAGGAUUGUAUAAUUCCGCUUAUUCUACCCAUCCCACAGCCUGACCCUGACUCAAGUCCUGCAGCCCCUUGGUGCCCUGAGCCCCCUCCCCUGCCUGUUCCUAAGCAAUCAAUCACCCUAAGACCCCGUUCUAGGUUUCAGCAGAUGAUGACGAGUUAAUCAGACAAAUAAGCCAUGGGGUAGGCAGGGGUUGUGGGUGCUGCUUCCUGGUCCCUCUGGCAAACCAGAAGGGAGCUGCCUCCCUGCGGUCCCCACCCUGUCUCCAAGCUUCCCAGCAGAGCCCCACAUCCAGCAACUGGGCCCAGCUUUAACCAGACGGAGGAGCAGCCUGACGUCCUGCCAGCCCCAGAGACAGAUGUGGGCACAGGAAGGGAAGGCAGGGAGGAGAGGAAGCCAAUAAAAAGUGUUAGCAUCCGUCAGGGUGACCCUUUGCAGAACCUGCGUCAGCCUGAGGACGCAGGGAAAGGCUGCGCGGGAGAAGCCGCUGUUAGCAUCUGCCAGGGUGACCCUUUACAGAAACUGCGUCAGCCUGAGGACGCAGGGACAGGCUGUGCGGAGAAGCCGCUGUUAGCAUCCGUCAGGGUGACCCUUUACAGAAACUGCGUCAGCCUGAGGACGCAGGGACAGGCUGUGCGGAGAAGCCGCUGGCCUUUGCCGCUUGAAAGCUGGGUCCCUGCGGCCUCCUCACCCCAGGGCUCCCUCAGAGAAAUUCUCAUAGAACCCCUAAGCAAUACGCGGGGAAAGAACGGAUGCCACCCGGAAGCAUGCCGAGGAAGAGUCCAUUCAUGGGAACUUCCAGAGCCGGUCACAGAGGCCAGAUCCACGAUCAGGUGCAUGGCAGGGGCUUGUCCGCAGGACCGGAACCUUGUGGAAGAUACUACAUUCAACACAGACGUACUGUGUGCCUCCUGCGUGUGAGGCCUGGUGCUCAUGGCGCGUGUCCUUGCAUGCAAAAUUCUACUCUUCAUCUUGACGUUUCUAGACAUUCAGCUGUUCCUCAGGAAACGAUUUACCUUCCCUCUGCCUUUUCUGUAAAAUGCAUGGACUGAGGAAUUACUAAUGCAUAACACUUUGUUUGCUGGAUACCAAGUAGACGCACUCUUACCAUAUACAGGGCUGUAUCUAGGCAGCCAGUUAUUAGAAUAAAAACAGAAUACUAUGUUCAUCCGCUCAGAU
Long non-coding RNA from Homo sapiens (human), 3265 nucleotides. Ensembl annotates it as long intergenic non-protein coding RNA 1624. The record is from Ensembl. Lineage: Eukaryota; Metazoa; Chordata; Mammalia; Primates; Hominidae.